CCUACGGGAGGCAGCAGUGGGGAAUCUUCCGCAAUGGGCGAAAGCCUGACGGAGCAACGCCGCGUGAUCGAAUGAAGGCCUUCGGGUUGUAAAGAUCUGUUGAUAGGGACAAAUAAGCAAUGCGAAUAGUUUUUUGUAUGACGGUACCUGUUUAGAAAGCUCCGGCUAACUACGUGCCAGCAGCCGCGUUAAUACGUAGGGAGCAAUGUUUGGCCGGCAUUACUGGGCGUAAAGGGGGCGUAUGUGGGCGAUUAAGUCAGGUGUGAAAACUCCGGGGUCAACCUGGAGACUGCACUUGAAACUGGGUGUCUUGAGGGCAGGAGAGGAAGGUGGAAUGCCUAGUGUAGCGGUGAAAUGCGUAGAUAUUAGGAGGAACACCAGUGGCGAAGGCGGCUUUCUGGACUGUACCUGACGCUGAGGCGCGAAAGCGUGGGUAGCGAACGGGAUUAGAUACCCGGGUAGUC
Molecule: ribosomal RNA, 464 nt
Filed under: uncultured bacterium
Lineage: Bacteria
Description: partial 16S ribosomal RNA
Rfam family: Bacterial small subunit ribosomal RNA
Source: RNAcentral